This 34-nucleotide small RNA is filed under the name Arabidopsis thaliana (thale cress). RNAcentral describes it as "ATSL143740". The record is from RNAcentral. Lineage: Eukaryota; Viridiplantae; Streptophyta; Magnoliopsida; Brassicales; Brassicaceae.
AAAAAAAGAAGAGGAAGAAGAAGAAGAACAGAAG